Long non-coding RNA from Mangifera indica (mango), 404 nucleotides. RefSeq lists it as uncharacterized. The transcript is spliced from 2 exons. NCBI's taxonomy places the organism in Eukaryota, Viridiplantae, Streptophyta, Magnoliopsida, Sapindales, Anacardiaceae. The record is from RefSeq and is a predicted model, not a curated record.
CUCCGUUGAAGAUGGAGUGUCACAGGCUGAAUUUUUCCAAUUUGCCUGUGCAUUAUCUCGAUAUACUAUCUGGAAGAUCAUCUUUUUUCAUUGUAAUCAUGACACAUCAUCUAGGCAAAUUACCCUUAGGGUAUGAUCUGGCGAUAGGGUGUUAUAUGGAGGCACCGCAAAGCCAAUUAAUGCACGCCUUGUCCAAUGCCAACUAAUGCACGCCUUAUCCGAUGAGUUGCGGUGUUUAGGAGGUAGAAGGUUCCUUUCAGAGACACUUUCCGGAAACCAAUCUAUGCACGUCUGCUUAUGGCCGUUCUUCAAGGUCAACAAAUCUACCAAAAAUACUUAGUGAUGGAGAUCGUGUUCAACCUUUUUUAUCAACAAUAAAUUUAUAUAUAGCAUCUUUUUAUUUU